AGUGGCUAAGUAGCCCAGGCUGGGCUCUUACUUAGAAUUCUCCCGCCUGAGCCUCCCCGCGUCCCGGGACUACAGGUGUGCAACCCCAACACUCGACUUGGAUUUGUGUCAAUUAUGACUUCAUAAAAUGGAUUGUCCCUGUUGCCAGUAAAUGGGUUGGCCCCCGACAGAAGCCAGCGGUCCUCUGCUUUCAUCACAGCCCUUCUUCCUGGAAGGCCAACAUCACCUUGAGCCACAGGAAGCAGCUGGCUAUCUCCCCACUGGAAUUCUUCCCAGUGGGACCAGCUGACCUGCCAAGGUCUCCCAAAGCAGAAGGUGUUGAUGGAGCGGGGAAGGGGAGCAGGUGGCCUCUUGGGAGACCCCCACACUGGGAACAGAGCAGGAGAGGGGUUAGGCACUGCCAGGGUGCCCAGCGAAGUCGGGACAGAGAGGUAUCAGAGGCAGAUCUGCUGCUGUGACAGUUAACAGCCAGGAUCACCACAGGGACUGCGUUGGCUAUAGAGAGCAGCUGACCUCUCCCUAUUCCAGGAGCCCACAGCAUAUGAAGCCAGAGUCGGGAGACAGGAGGCCCCAGCACUCACUAAGUACUGAUCUGGAAAGCUGGAGGGGAGACAGCCAGGCCUGGGCAGCCACUCUUCAGAGAAGAUAUCAUCAAGUACAAUUUGCCAAGGACGGAGGAGCCAGACUGGCUCUGCCCUGCCGCUGCUAGCUAAUCUAUGACACUCCGCAGGCGACAGGAGCCUCAGAUGCAACUUGCAGUAUGUCUGUGGCUGGGCUAGGGCCUUUGUAUCUUAAUCAUCCUGUUUAACCAUCAGAAGAAUCUUCUGAGAUAACGAUGACUGUCUCCACUUGACAUAAAAGAAAACUAAGGCUCAGAUAGGAGAAGUGAUUUGCUUAAUGUUUCGGAGCCAGUGAGUGACAAGGCAGUGUGUGAUCAUCAGUCUCCUGGGUCCAGGCCCAGUGUCCUCUGGCUGUUCCACAGCUUCCUUAUGGGUCGAGGCAGGGAGGCACCUUGGAGAGAAGCGGCGCUUGGUAUCUGUACCUUUGCCAACUCGAGAACCAUCAGGAAGGCUCAGAGCACCACUGCUUUCUCCUCCAGUGGCAACAGCCAGGGCUUGGCUGCGGAUGACUAUGCCAGUGUGAGGCUCCCUGCGGAGAGUGAGUUAGAGCUCUUAACCAGGUGGAGGGAGGGGGUUCUGCAUCACCAGAAUGCCAGAGAGAGGCCGAAACCCGAAAUGCUCACGGGAAAGGCCAUCUUGCAACUUCCAUGGCGGAAUGACAUAAAGAGUGCUGGGCAUGUGGGUCAGAGCGUCUCAGUCCUCACAGGCUCUGCCACCGUCUUUGUUACACGACCUAAGGCAUCGACUCUGGACUUCACUGUUCCUAUCUGUAAAAUGGGAGAGAAUACCUACUCCUGCACAGGCUUUGGAUAGAAGGGUGAGUCAGGCAACAGGGAUGGGAGCCAGCUACUGUACAGAGGAAGACUGACACAGAAGAAGCCGUACAUACUCAGCUACAGCCUGAUGAGUUUAGGGAUACAAAUACUCCUGUGAAACCACUGCCACUGUUGAGGCAACCCAUUACUUCUUUAAACACUCAGUUCUGGGGCUGGGGAUUUAGCUCAGCGGCAAAAGCGCCUGCCUGGCAAGCGCGAGGUCGUGA
Chinchilla lanigera (long-tailed chinchilla) is the source of this 1662-nucleotide long non-coding RNA. RefSeq lists it as uncharacterized. NCBI's taxonomy places the organism in Eukaryota, Metazoa, Chordata, Mammalia, Rodentia, Chinchillidae. The record is from RefSeq and is a predicted model, not a curated record. The transcript is spliced from 3 exons.